UAAUGUUCAGUGACUUAAAAAAUUGUUGUUUGUCAAUUUAAUCAUACAACUUAGAUGAAGAGAUUUGGGACUUGAGGCUACAUUUUCAAGGAAUAGAUAAUAUGGAGAAAAAGUAUUCAGUUUCCUCAGAUAUCAGUUAUCUGACCAUAUUAUCAUUGGUUGAGUUGGAUGGCUAUGGCAUGGAUGCAUUUCUGACUUAUGUAAAGAAAGAGGGAAAGGGGCUGGAGGGUGUGGAGGCCCUGGAUAGUGAGGAGGCAUUAGAGUCAAUGCUUGACUUAUUUGUUGAUAAGAAGGUACUGAACAUCAGUGUCAGAAAAGCUACUGAUCCAAGCCCAGCAGAUGAGGAACAGAUCCCCAUUGAUCAUGUUGGUGAACCUGUUGUUUACAGAGUUUCACAAGAAGGUGUUUUGUACCCUGCCUCUAGUGCUAGUUUGCCAGCUUUAACCCCUGAUGAGCCCUACAUGAACACACAGCAAAGCAACAAUUUGAACAAGGGGAAAACAGUCAUGGAAGAAGAAGAUGCAGAAGAAGAAGCAGAUGAAGAAGAAGAAGAUGUACCAGAGGAAGAAGAUGAAGUUGAAGAUGACAAAUCAUCUUCAGAUUUUGAGUUCUUUAGGGGUGAUUACAGAGGGGAGAAGAUUUCUUACAAAGCUUGGUGUAGGGGUGAAGAUGAGGCUGGCACUGAUACUGCAGAGCACUUUUGUGCAGCUAACUUAGAACCUUCUGAGUUUUGGGAGGAAGAACCAAUUGUUUCUGAAGAUGAAGAAGUAGAGGAUCAUGCUGCUGUAACUACAAAAGCAGCCAAAAAGCUUAAGCCGGUUAGAAAACCUGGCCCAACUAGCAAGUCUCACAGUGAGCCUGAGCACAUCAACUUUGAAGAUUAUGUCCCUGAAGCUGAUGAGUACUGUUUUCCAGGUGACUUAGGCAUAAGUGAUGAAGAGGAUGCACCAAGGCUGCCAUCUGGAAGGAAGAGUAGGAAGAAGCAGAAGAAGGAGAGGAGAUCGUAUGAUCCAAAAAGGCCUGAUGCACAUGAGCAGUUUUCAAUGCAUUUGUGCUUUGAAAAUGUAGUUGAGUUCAGAGAAGCACUUAGAAAUUUUCAUGUGAGGACUCUUAGGAAUUUUGAGUAUCACAGAAAUGAACCAACUAGGGUUAUUUCUUGGUGCUCUGAUAGAAAACAUGGUUGUGAGUUUUACAUAGUUGCCUCCAAGAUAGCUCGUGAGGCAACUUUCAGUAUCAAGAAGAUGAACCUAGAUCACACUUGUGGAGCAAGUGGGGAGAAAACAAAGGUGAUAGUCAGUUGGGUUGCUAAGGUUUGUGAGGAUACAGUCAGAUCCAACCCUGGAGCUGGUGUUGACAUAAUUAUCUCAUACACAAAGAAGAAGUUUGGUGUGCAUGUGCCUAAAAGCUUGGCAUAUAGGGCAAGGAAGCAAGCAGUUGAGGUUGUGCAAGGAGAUCACAAACUCCAGUAUCACAGAAUAAGGGACUACCUGCAGUGCGUGCUAGAUACUAACCCUGGCAGUAGGUGCAUAGUAACAACACAUGAGAACCCACUUAACCCAGCUCCUACCCCAAGGUUUCACUAUAUGUUUUACUACUUGUUUGCAUGCAAGGAGGGUUUUCUGAAUGGAUGCAUGCCAUUUAUAGGUAAGUAUUCAAAAAUUUAUAUGUUUUUUUAAACAUUGAUGUACUUAGGCACUCAUGUUAUCAUGUUAGCAGGUCUGGAUGGUUGCUUCAUCAAGCUAAGCACUGGUCAGCAGAUAUUGGCAGCUACAGGGAGGGAUGGCAACAAUAACAUCUUCCCAAUAGCUUUUGGUGUUGUUGAUAAGGAAGAGACAGACAGAUGGGCAUGGUUUCUCACACAGUUGAGAACAGUCAUUGGAACUGGCAAUAAGUUUGGCAAAUACACAAUUAUGUCUGACAGGCAGAAGAGGAGAGGAACUUAAGAAACAUUUAGACCAGGCUGCCUAUUCCUUUACCAAACAUGGACAUGAUUUAGGCAUGGAGAAUUUGAAAAAGGAAAGUUUAGAAGCAAGGGCACAGGAUCAACAAUUGUGGUGUCCCUUUGAAACCUAAGUUCCAGAUGAGGCUGAACAAGCACCAGGAAAAUAAAGCAAACUACUCUGAGGCUGGUUCUUCAAUGGUUGCAACUACACAAAGGCCACCAAGGGUACCUGCUGCCUCUGCACCUGCACCAAAUCCUCCUCCAACAACAAAUGAGUCAACACAGACAGCUUGUAGAUCAAGGAAGAGGGCAACACUAGCUACAACAUCAGCACCACCACCUCUCAAGAAGAGCAGGACCAACACCUCUUCUGCAACACUAGUACCACCUCCCAAGAAGAAGAACACAACUAUUUCUGGCAAUGGAUCAAGGUCUUCUCCAGCAAAGAACACCAGGUCAUCAAGGUCUUCUCCAGCAAAGAACACCAGGUCAUCAAGGUCUUCUCCAGCAAAGAACACCAGGUCAGCUGUUGCCAAUAGAGCUGGCAAUGGAUCUUUCAUUGCUCCUAGACAAUCUUCUACAAGUGCUGUGCAGGAGGGGUCAAAGAGGGUCAGGAAGCCAUCUGGGAGGCUGAAAGAUUACUUUUAUGCAAGUGGUAACUAGCUGAAGCCAAGUGCACUCCUAGACAAUCUGCUACAAGUGCACUGUUUGAUUUGGUUUGUAAUAACA
Molecule: RNA transcript, 2671 nt
Organism: Triticum aestivum (bread wheat)
Lineage: Eukaryota; Viridiplantae; Streptophyta; Magnoliopsida; Poales; Poaceae
Gene name: flocculation protein FLO11-like
Exons: 3
Source: RefSeq, a predicted model, not a curated record